RNAcentral lists this long non-coding RNA (204 nucleotides) under Capsicum annuum. RNAcentral's name for it is "long non-coding RNA (CANN_LNC012675)". Lineage: Eukaryota; Viridiplantae; Streptophyta; Magnoliopsida; Solanales; Solanaceae. The record is from RNAcentral.
GGGCAUGUCGGUUAGAUGAUUACCUCCCACAGUUUUAGUUUUAGUCUUCAAAAUAGAUCUUAGUUCAGUUCUACAGAAUCAAAAUUAUCAGAUACAGUUAACCAGUAUCAGUAAAUCAGUUUUCAAUAAUUUUAUAUAUCAGUUGCUCAUUAUUAGAAUUCAGGACUUACCUUCAGACAUGCUUAGUCACAGUAUUUAUUUAUA